Molecule: ribosomal RNA, 468 nt
Filed under: uncultured bacterium
Lineage: Bacteria
Description: partial 16S ribosomal RNA
Rfam family: Bacterial small subunit ribosomal RNA
Source: RNAcentral
GACGAACGCUGGCGGCGUGCUUAACACAUGCAAGUCGAACGGAAAGGCCCUGCUUUUGUGGGGUGCUCGAGUGGCGAACGGGUGAGUAACACGUGAGUAACCUGCCCUUGACUUUGGGAUAACUUCAGGAAACUGGGGCUAAUACCGGAUAGGAGCUCCUGCUGCAUGGUGGGGGUUGGAAAGUUUCGGCGGUUGGGGAUGGACUCGCGGCUUAUCAGCUUGUUGGUGGGGUAGUGGCUUACCAAGGCUUUGACGGGUAGCCGGCCUGAGAGGGUGACCGGCCACAUUGGGACUGAGAUACGGCCCAGACUCCUACGGGAGGCAGCAGUGGGGAAUAUUGCACAAUGGGCGGAAGCCUGAUGCAGCAACGCCGCGUGCGGGAUGACGGCCUUCGGGUUGUAAACCAAUUUCGCCUGUGACGAAGCGUGAGUGACGGUAAUGGGUAAAGAAGCACCGGCUAACUACGUG